This 622-nucleotide long non-coding RNA is filed under the name Ananas comosus (pineapple). RNAcentral describes it as "long non-coding RNA (ACOM_LNC030463)". Lineage: Eukaryota; Viridiplantae; Streptophyta; Magnoliopsida; Poales; Bromeliaceae. The record is from RNAcentral.
UUAAUUUUGUGUGAAUAAUGGAUUUAUGGUAUUCUACUUUUGAAAAAGUUUGAUUGGUUGAUAGCUUAAAGUGGUAAGGAUGAAUUAUGCAAGGUGCAUCCACAUGAUUUUAAUUCUUAAUUAUUUACUAGUGUAGUAACCCGUGCGAUGCGACGGAUAAAAAAUUAAAAAAAAAUUAAAAAUAUUAAUGAUAUAUUUUUUCAAAAAAUUUUAAAUUAUUUAUAUUUAAUUGAUUAUAAAUUAUUCAAAUAUAUAGGCAAUCUAUAUAUAUGAGUCAACAGUUUAAAAAUAAAUAAGUACUAAACCAUUUAACAUAAUUAUCAUCUCAAGAAGUAUAUUCUCAAUGGUAAGAAAAUCAAAUAAAUAGUUUUAAACUAUUCCUGCUAAUUCCAAAUAUCACCAACAAACAAUCAAACCAUACAAAAAUUUGAAGUGAAGUCAAUUCAGAUCCUAUUACAAUAGUAACUGAAAUGAGAACUAUUUCAAAAGUAAUAUAGAAUUCACAAAUGUGUCCUAAAUCACAACAAAAAUCUAAAUUCUUCUAGAUCUAAGCCAAAAAUUCAUCAACUGAAACAAACCAGAAUGCAAAUUUUCAUAACAACGCUUCGUCGAACCCCGCUUU